This 1471-nucleotide ribosomal RNA is filed under the name metagenome. Its description in RNAcentral is "bacterial SSU rRNA". It matches the Rfam family "Bacterial small subunit ribosomal RNA". The record is from RNAcentral.
AGAGUUUGAUCCUGGCUCAGGAUGAACGCUGGCGGCGUGCUUAACACAUGCAAGUCGAACGGACUUUACAUGAAGCCUAGCGAUUGUAAAGUUAGUGGCGGACGGGUGAGUAACGCGUGAAUAACCUGCCCUGUACCGGGGGACAACAGUUGGAAACGGCUGCUAAUACCGCAUAAGCGCACGGUUCCGCAUGGAACAGUGUGAAAAACUCCGGUGGUACAGGAUGGAUUCGCGUCUGAUUAGCCAGUUGGUGGGGUAACGGCCUACCAAAGCAACGAUCAGUAGCCGGCCUGAGAGGGUGAACGGCCACAUUGGGACUGAGACACGGCCCAAACUCCUACGGGAGGCAGCAGUGGGGAAUAUUGCACAAUGGGGGAAACCCUGAUGCAGCGACGCCGCGUGAGUGAAGAAGUUAUUCGUAACGUAAAGCUCUAUCAGCAGGGAAGAAAAUGACGGUACCUGACUAAGAAGCCCCGGCUAACUACGUGCCAGCAGCCGCGGUAAUACGUAGGGGGCAAGCGUUAUCCGGAUUUACCGGGUGUAAAGGGAGCGUAGACGGCACAGCAAGUCUGAUGUGAAAGCCCGGGGCCCAACCCCGGAACUGCAUUGGAAACUGCUGGGCUUGAGUGCAGGAGAGGUAAGCGGAAUUCCUAGUGUAGCGGUGAAAUGCGUAGAUAUUAGGAGGAACACCAGUGGCGAAGGCGGCUUACUGGACUGUAACUAACGUUGAGGCUCGAAAGCGUGGGUAGCAAACAGGAUUAGAUACCCUGGUAGUCCACACCGUAAACGAUGAUUACUAGGUGUUGGGAGAUUGACCCUCUCAGUGCCGCAGUUAACACAAUAAGUAAUCCACCUGGGGAGUACGACCGCAAGGUUGAAACUCAAAGGAAUUGACGGGGGCCCGCACAAGCAGUGGAGUAUGUGGUUUAAUUCGACGCAACGCGAAGAACCUUACCAAGUCUUGACAUCCCUUGACGAUGCUGGAAACAGUAUUUCUCUUCGGAGCAAGGAGACAGGUGGUGCAUGGUUGUCGUCAGCUCGUGUCGUGAGAUGUUGGGUUAAGUCCCGCAACGAGCGCAACCCUUAUGGUCAGUUACUACGCAAGAGGACUCUGGCCAGACUGCCGUUGACAAAACGGAGGAAGGUGGGGAUGACGUCAAAUCAUCAUGCCCUUUAUGACUUGGGCUACACACGUACUACAAUGGCGUUAAACAAAGAGAAGCAAGACCGCGAGGUGGAGCAAAACUCAGAAACAACGUCCCAGUUCGGACUGCAGGCUGCAACUCGCCUGCACGAAGUCGGAAUUGCUAGUAAUCGUGGAUCAGCAUGCCACGGUGAAUACGUUCCCGGGCCUUGUACACACCGCCCGUCACACCAUGAGAGCCGGGGGGACCCGAAGUCGGUAGUCUAACCGCAAGGAGGACGCCGCCGAAGGUAAAACUGGUGAUUGGGGUGAAGUCGUAACAAGGUA